UAACGAUUUAAAUCUUCUAAAU
RNAcentral lists this small nuclear RNA (22 nucleotides) under Arabidopsis thaliana (thale cress). RNAcentral describes it as "snRNA_01020". Lineage: Eukaryota; Viridiplantae; Streptophyta; Magnoliopsida; Brassicales; Brassicaceae. The record is from RNAcentral.